RNAcentral lists this ribosomal RNA (1704 nucleotides) under Salmonella enterica subsp. enterica serovar Typhimurium. RNAcentral's name for it is "bacterial LSU rRNA". It matches the Rfam family "Bacterial large subunit ribosomal RNA", at positions 1 to 1553 of the family's 2925-position model. Lineage: Bacteria; Pseudomonadati; Pseudomonadota; Gammaproteobacteria; Enterobacterales; Enterobacteriaceae. The record is from RNAcentral.
GGGUUGUGAGGUUAAGCGACUAAGCGUACACGGUGGAUGCCCUGGCAGUCAGAGGCGAUGAAGGGCGUGCUAAUCUGCGAUAAGCGCCGGUAAGGUGAUAUGAACCGUUAUAACCGGCGAUACCCGAAUGGGGAAACCCAGUGUGACUCGUCACACUAUCAUUAACUGAAUCCAUAGGUUAAUGAGGCGAACCGGGGGAACUGAAACAUCUAAGUACCCCGAGGAAAAGAAAUCAACCGAGAUUCCCCCAGUAGCGGCGAGCGAACGGGGAGGAGCCCAGAGCCUGAAUCAGCAUGUGUGUUAGUGGAAGCGUCUGGAAAGGCGCGCGAUACAGGGUGACAGCCCCGUACACAAAAGCGCAUGUGCUGUGAGCUCGAUGAGUAGGGCGGGACACGUGGUAUCCUGUCUGAAUAUGGGGGGACCAUCCUCCAAGGCUAAAUACUCCUGACUGACCGAUAGUGAACCAGUACCGUGAGGGAAAGGCGAAAAGAACCCCGGCGAGGGGAGUGAAAAAGAACCUGAAACCGUGUACGUACAAGCAGUGGGAGCCCCACCACCAAAGCAUUAUCUGGUGUUGAAGGCCCUGCAAAGCAGCAUCGCGGUGGCGGAGCGUCGUUUGCGACGCCCAACACACAAAACAAGCGGUGAAUGCUUUGGGGUGGGGUGACUGCGUACCUUUUGUAUAAUGGGUCAGCGACUUAUAUUCUGUAGCAAGGUUAACCGAAUAGGGGAGCCGGAGGGAAACCGAGUCUUAAUUGGGCGUUAAGUUGCAGGGUAUAGACCCGAAACCCGGUGAUCUAGCCAUGGGCAGGUUGAAGGUUGGGUAACACUAACUGGAGGACCGAACCGACUAAUGUUGAAAAAUUAGCGGAUGACCUGUGGCUGGGGGUGAAAGGCCAAUCAAACCGGGAGAUAGCUGGUUCUCCCCGAAAGCUAUUUAGGUAGCGCCUCGUGAAUUCAUCUCCGGGGGUAGAGCACUGUUUCGGCUAGGGGGCCAUCCCGGCUUACCAACCCGAUGCAAACUGCGAAUACCGGAGAAUGUUAUCACGGGAGACACACGGCGGGUGCUAACGUCCGUCGUGAAGAGGGAAACAACCCAGACCGCCAGCUAAGGUCCCAAAGUCAUGGUUAAGUGGGAAACGAUGUGGGAAGGCCCAGACAGCCAGGAUGUUGGCUUAGAAGCAGCCAUCAUUUAAAGAAAGCGUAAUAGCUCACUGGUCGAGUCGGCCUGCGCGGAAGAUGUAACGGGGCUAAACCAUGCACCGAAGCUGCGGCAGCGAACGUAUCACCCAAGACAACUUUACGGAGUUGACGAUUGACGGAGCGAAGCGACGUCAAAGCGUUCAUUAAAGUCGAGUUGGCUUAGGGAUACGUUCGUUGGGUAGGGGAGCGUUCUGUAAGCCUGUGAAGGUGUGUCGUGAGGCAUGCUGGAGGUAUCAGAAGUGCGAAUGCUGACAUAAGUAACGAUAAAGCGGGUGAAAAGCCCGCUCGCCGGAAGACCAAGGGUUCCUGUCCAACGUUAAUCGGGGCAGGGUGAGUCGACCCCUAAGGCGAGGCCGAAAGGCGUAGUCGAUGGGAAACGGGUUAAUAUUCCCGUACUUGGUGUUACUGCGAAGGGGGGACGGAGAAGGCUAUGUUGGCCGGGCGACGGUUGUCCCGGUUUAAGCGUGUAGGUGUGUGUUCCAGGUAAAUCCGGUUCACUUU